GAUCAUGGCUCAGGACGAACGCUGGCGGCGUGCUUAACACAUGCAAGUCGAACGCUGAAGGCUCAGCUUGCUGGGCUGGAUGAGUGGCGAACGGGUGAGUAACACGUGAGUAACCUGCCCUCUUCUUUGGGAUAACGGUCGGAAACGGCUGCUAAUACCGGGUAUUCACUGUCCUUCGCAUGGGGGUGGUGGAAGGUUUUUACUUGGUGGGGGAGUGGGCUCGCGGCCUAUCAGCUUGUUGGUGGGGUGA
This 250-nucleotide ribosomal RNA is filed under the name uncultured bacterium. RNAcentral's name for it is "partial 16S ribosomal RNA". It matches the Rfam family "Bacterial small subunit ribosomal RNA", at positions 15 to 260 of the family's 1533-position model. The record is from RNAcentral.